GGAUUCAUUGGGCGUAAAGCGUCCGCAGGUGGUUUAAAAAGUUGAUGGUUAAAUCUUGAGGCUUAACUUCGAGACUGCUGUCAAUACUGUUAAACUAGAGGUUGGUAGAGGCAAACGGAACUAUCGGUGUAGUCGUAAUAAGCGCUGAUAUCGAUAGGAACACCAAAGGCGAAGGCAGUUUGCUAGAACAAACCUGACACUCAUGGACCAAAGCGUGGGGAGCGAAUAGGAUUAGAUACCCUAGUAGUCCACGCCCUAAACGAUGUGUACUAGGUAUUGGGAGUAUCGACCCUCUCAGUGCCGUUUUAAAAAGCUAACGCGUUAAGUACACCGCCUGGGGAGUACGGCCGCAAGGUUAAAACUCAAAGGAAUAGACGGGGACCCGCACAAGCGGAGGAUCAUGCGGUUUAAUUCGAUGGUACGCGGCGAACCUUACCUGGGCUCAACUACUAACUGCAAGCCUCUGGAAACAGAGGAUUCCUUAGAGGGUGUUAGAUAGGUGCUGCAUGGUUGCCGUCAGCUCGUGCCGUGAGGUGUACAGUUAAGUCUGGUAACGAGCGCAACCCCUAUGCUGUGUUAAAUGCACACAGCAGACUGCCUGUUUAAACAGGAGGAAGGCGGGGAUGACGUCAAAUCAGCAUGGCUCUUACGUCCAGGGCCACACGCAUGAUACAAUGGCCGGUACAGAGGGUUGCGAAGCCGUAAGGUGGAGCUAAUCCCAGAAAGCCGGUCUCAGUUCGGAUUGAGGGCUGCAACUCGUCCUCAUGAAGCUGGAUUCGCUAGUAAUUGCGCAUCAGAACGGCGCAGUGAAUACGUUCUCGGGUCUUGUACUCACCGCCCGUCACACCACGAAAGUUGGCAAUGUCCAAAAGCUCCUUACGGGGACUAAGGCAGGGUCAAUGAUCAGGGUGAAGUCGUAACAAGGCAUCCCUAGCGGAAGCUGGGGAUGGAUCACCUCCUU
RNAcentral lists this ribosomal RNA (961 nucleotides) under Candidatus Magasanikbacteria bacterium GW2011_GWC2_37_14. Its description in RNAcentral is "bacterial SSU rRNA". It matches the Rfam family "Bacterial small subunit ribosomal RNA", at positions 547 to 1532 of the family's 1533-position model. Lineage: Bacteria; Candidatus Magasanikiibacteriota. The record is from RNAcentral.